Molecule: ribosomal RNA, 826 nt
Filed under: Pleurotus sp. IOO-2013b
Lineage: Eukaryota; Fungi; Basidiomycota; Agaricomycetes; Agaricales; Pleurotaceae
Description: eukaryotic LSU rRNA
Rfam family: 5.8S ribosomal RNA (bases 258-411)
Source: RNAcentral
GUGACCUGCGGAAGGAUUUAAAUUGAAUUCACUAUGGAGUUGUUGCUGGCCUCUAGGGGCAUGUGCACGCUUCACUAGUCUUUCAACCACCUGUGAACUUUUGAUAGAUCUGUGAAGUCGUCUCUCAAGUCGGCAUCAGACUUGGUUGCUGGGAUUUAAACGUCUCGGUGUGACUACGCAGUCUAUUUACUUACCACACCCCAAAUGUAUGUCUACGAAUGUUAUUUAAUGGGCCUUGUGCCUUUAAACCAUAAUACAACUUUCAACAACGGAUCUCUUGGCUCUCGCAUCGAUGAAGAACGCAGCGAAAUGCGAUAAGUAAUGUGAAUUGCAGAAUUCAGUGAAUCAUCGAAUCUUUGAACGCACCUUGCGCCCCUUGGUAUUCCGAGGGGCAUGCCUGUUUGAGUGUCAUUAAAUUCUCAAACUCACUUUGGUUUCUUUCCAAUUGUGAUGUUUGGAUUGUUGGGGGCUGCUGGCCUUGACAGGUCGGCUCCUCUUAAAUGCAUUAGCAGGACUUCUCAUUGCCUCUGCGCAUGAUGUGAUAAUUAUCACUCAUCAAUAGCACGCAUGAAUAGAGUCCAGCUCUCUAAUCGUCCGCAAGGACAAUUUGACAAUUUGACCUCAAAUCAGGUAGGACUACCCGCUGAACUUAAGCAUAUCAAUAAGCGGAGGAAAAGAAACUAACAAGGAUUCCCCUAGUAACUGCGAGUGAAGCGGGAAAAGCUCAAAUUUAAAAUCUGGUGGUCUUUGGCCAUCCGAGUUGUAAUCUAGAGAAGUGUUAUCCGCGCUGGACCGUGAAAAAUUUCUCCACAGAAAGAAUUUGUGA